Melospiza melodia melodia is the source of this 1927-nucleotide long non-coding RNA. RefSeq lists it as uncharacterized. The record is from RefSeq and is a predicted model, not a curated record. Lineage: Eukaryota; Metazoa; Chordata; Aves; Passeriformes; Passerellidae. The transcript is spliced from 6 exons.
CGUGCUGCCGGCGCGGCGUGUGACGCAACGGCUAUCGCGGCACAUGAGUGGCUGUCAGCCCGAGACUCCAACUCCCGGCAGGCCCUGCUGCUGGCGCGGCGUGUGACGCAACGGGCGACGCGGCCCGGCAUUUUUCUCUAAAUCGGCAGUAAAUACAGCUGAGUAAAAUUAGCUUGGUUUUCUUCCUUCUUUUGUAACGGAACUGUUUUUAUUAAAAAUCCUAUUUGAAUAUGUGGAAAAAGUGGGGAUGUCCUGUAAUAUAUCGUCGCUUUUCUUGUUUACAGGGUGCUCAGAAAGCAUGCGUCCCUUAGAGUCCCACGGAAAGGUUCUCAGUGCGCUCUCUAUCAAGUGCUAUGAGUCUUGAUAAAUUGGAGAAGAGCCCAAGAGAAAUUUUUCAUCCCUUGAUAUAAAAGGGAUCGGUGAAUUUUAACUUUGGAGUCCACUAUGCUAAGGAUGCUCAGCUUACAGGUGAUGAAAUGUUCAGUAAUGUAUUUGCUGCAGCUCUGCUUACCCAAGCUUUGGGUUCCUUCUGUCCCACUGGGAGUUGCCCAGUUUGGUUGCAUCUGGUGAAAUUCACCCUGAGACCUUACAGAACUAGCUCCAACUACGUGAGAGCCAUUUGCAGUUCUCUCCAGACACCUGGAGAAUGGGUGACGUUUCUGAGGAUCCGGCGAGCGUGCUUCUAUCAAAACUCAGUCUGUGAAAUUUCUGGGGAAAACCCUUCUGUGUCCUGAAGGGUUCAAACUCUGGCGAGGAUCCCGUUAUCAGGUGCUCACCUGGAUGGUUCCAGCUGCCAAAGGGAAAGACUCUUGUAUCCUUGUCGUCGGGCUCGGUGCUGUCCAAGAAGAUACGGGGACUAAAAAAAUCAUAAGAAGCAAAAUAUGACUGCAGGGAAAAGAAGCUGGAGAGAAGAGAAGACUCAUCACGGCGGGACAGCGUGAGGACUGAAAGUGUAAGAAGAUGUGGAGGGAAAGAGAGAAUCUGACAGGAGCAGCGAACGCAUGAGUGCACGAAUUUUGCUUUUUGCUUGGAUGUAAACUCAGGAGUUGAGAGGAAUUUGGGAGUGAGAAGGGACAUUUCAGAAGGAGAAGAAGAAAAAGAAGUUGUUGCUACAGUCCUGGCAAAAGCUUUUGUUCUAGCUAAUAAAAGAAGUUAGUUUAAAAAACAAAAAGGAAAAAAUGUAGUGUUUUUUUUUUCCUUCACUAUGAUAUUCAUUGGUGGUAUAUGGUGUGUUGUUUUAUUUCUUGGUAUUAUUAACUCUGUGUAAAUUGUUUUUUGAGUGAAGCUGACUUUCUGGAUGGGUUGGUUUGUAUUUGAGGCAGGAUUAAUUUCAGUAGGGUUCUUUCAUAGAUUUCUGAUGGGUAUUACUGGGAUUUUGGUUUUGUUUACUGUAUGUAUGAACCUAGAGCUUUGGUAGGGCCAGCUGGGCUGCUGGAGUUUUGGGUGUGAAUUUAUUAGAUGGCUUUUGUUAGAUGCAGUUUUUAAUUUUUGAAAUGUUUUUCAAUGUAGUGGUUUUAAGGUGGUUUUUAAGAAUUCAUUGUAUUGCUUUAUCUUGUUUGUAGUUGGUGUAUGAUAAGGGAUGUGGUGUGAGUUCUUGAACAUUAUGGUUUUGGUGUUCCUAAGUUCUGAUUUCUUUGUGGUUCAAUAUUUUUUUUUAUUUUUAUUUUUUGGGACAGGGGCAUUUAUAUGGUGGGUUUUUAUAGGCAAUAUGUUUUUUAAUUUAGGUAGUGAUAUUUUUUAAUAUUUUAAUAGUUUAGGUUUUUUAUUUUCAUGGUUUUAAUUAUUUUUUUUAAUUUUUUGAAAUAACUUUUAUAGAUUACAUGUUAUUAUUUGUGCAUUAACAUAAAGGUAGAGCUUUGGGGACUUUUUUUAGUAAUGUUUAGGGUCAGUUGUGCAGUUUUGAGUCUAGUGCGUUGGUUUGAUGUAA